UAUUCUCACUGUAGGUUGGCGUCUCAUAGUCGUGUCCCAAUCUAUCGUGCGAGUGU
Gadus morhua (Atlantic cod) is the source of this 56-nucleotide microRNA precursor. The record is from Ensembl. NCBI's taxonomy places the organism in Eukaryota, Metazoa, Chordata, Actinopteri, Gadiformes, Gadidae.